RNAcentral lists this transfer RNA (74 nucleotides) under Candidatus Woesearchaeota archaeon. RNAcentral describes it as "tRNA-Arg". It matches the Rfam family "tRNA". From Rfam's summary of the family: Transfer RNA (tRNA) molecules are approximately 80 nucleotides in length. Their secondary structure includes four short double-helical elements and three loops (D, anti-codon, and T loops). Further hydrogen bonds mediate the characteristic L-shaped molecular structure. tRNAs have two regions of fundamental functional importance: the anti-codon, which is responsible for specific mRNA codon recognition, and the 3' end, to which the tRNAs corresponding amino acid is attached (by aminoacyl-tRNA synthetases). tRNAs cope with the degeneracy of the genetic code in two manners: having more than one tRNA (with a specific anti-codon) for a particular amino acid; and 'wobble' base-pairing, i.e. permitting non-standard base-pairing at the 3rd anti-codon position. Lineage: Archaea; Nanobdellati; Candidatus Woesearchaeota. The record is from RNAcentral.
GGGUCUGUAGUUUAACCUGGACAAAAUAUCCCGCUUCGGACGGGAAGCUCAGGGUUCAAAUCCCUGCAGACCCG